CACCUGUUCCCAUUCCGAACACAGAAGUUAAGCCCACCAGCGCCGAUGGUACUGCGAAAGCGGGAGAGUAGGUCGCCGCCAGUC
This 84-nucleotide ribosomal RNA is filed under the name Chryseobacterium gilvum. Lineage: Bacteria; Pseudomonadati; Bacteroidota; Flavobacteriia; Flavobacteriales; Weeksellaceae. The record is from RNAcentral.